This is a non-coding RNA of Cytophagaceae bacterium SCN 52-12, 84 nucleotides long. Lineage: Bacteria; Pseudomonadati; Bacteroidota; Cytophagia; Cytophagales; Cytophagaceae. The record is from Rfam.
GCCCAGGUGGCGGAAUCGGUAGACGCGCUGGUCUCAAACACCUGUGGCCGCAAGGCCGUGCCGGUUCGACUCCGGCCCUGGGUA